GUGGAUUAGAUACCCCGGUAGUCCACGCCCUAAACGAUGUCAACUAGAUGUUGGAAGGGUUAAACCUUUUAGUGUCGUAGCUAACGCGUGAAGUUGACCGCCUGGGGAGUACGGCCGCAAGGCUAAAACUCAAAGGAAUUGACGGGGACCCGCACAAGCGGUGGAUGAUGUGGAUUAAUUCGAUGCAACGCGAAAAACCUUACCUACCCUUGACAUGUCAGGAACUUUCCAGAGAUGGAUUGGUGCCCGAAAGGGAGCCUGAACACAGGUGCUGCACGGCCGUCGUCAGCU
RNAcentral lists this ribosomal RNA (291 nucleotides) under uncultured bacterium. RNAcentral describes it as "partial 16S ribosomal RNA". It matches the Rfam family "Bacterial small subunit ribosomal RNA", at positions 773 to 1060 of the family's 1533-position model. The record is from RNAcentral.